CUUUGGCCCACAGUGUUCUUAUCUUAUAGAACACACAAUUAGCCAGUGAAAAACUCAUAACUAGUCUACCUAGUGGAGAAAAAUUCUUGUGGGCAGUUUGAAAGCCUCUAAGAGAAGAUUAUGAAGUUUGGAACCAGAUGGCAGGAGACACGAGGAAGGCUGUAGAUGCUUUGAACUUGUCUACUGGAGGAAUAUGCUAUGUUGUGACGGAGUCUUGCUCCUGUCGCCCAUGCUGGAGUACAGUGGUGCAAUCUCAGCUCACUGCAACCUCUGCCUCCUGGGAUCAAGUGAUUCUCCUGCCUCAGCAGCCUGAGUAGCUGGGACUACAG
Long non-coding RNA from Symphalangus syndactylus (siamang), 329 nucleotides. RefSeq lists it as uncharacterized. NCBI's taxonomy places the organism in Eukaryota, Metazoa, Chordata, Mammalia, Primates, Hylobatidae. The record is from RefSeq and is a predicted model, not a curated record.